GACAGAGGAGGCAAGCGUUGUUCCGAAUCAUUGGGCUUAAAGGGCGUGUAGGCGGCAACGCAAGUGUCGAGUGAAAUCCCAUCGCUCAACGAUGGAACGGCUCGGCAAACUGCGUGGCUUGAGGUCGGUAGAGGUGCUCGGAACUCUAGGUGGAGCGGUGAAAUGCGUAGAUAUCUAGAGGAACGCCUGAGGCGAAAGCGGGGCACUGGGCCGAUUCUGACGCUGAGACGCGAAAGCGUGGGGAGCAAACAGG
Molecule: ribosomal RNA, 253 nt
Filed under: uncultured bacterium
Lineage: Bacteria
Description: partial 16S ribosomal RNA
Rfam family: Bacterial small subunit ribosomal RNA
Source: RNAcentral